UACGUAGGGUGCGAGCGUUAAUCGGAAUAAUUGGGCGUAAAGGGUGCGUAGGUGGUUACGUAAGAUGGAUGUGAAAUCCUUGGGCUAAACCUAAGAAUUGCAUACAAGACUGCGUAGCUUGAGUAUAUUAGAGGGGGGUAGAAUUCCAUGUGUAGCAGUGAAAUGCGUAGAGAUGUGGAGGAAUACCGAUGGCGAAGGCAGCCCCCUGGAAUGUAACUGACACUGAGGCACGAAAGCGUGGGGAGCAAACAGG
This 253-nucleotide ribosomal RNA is filed under the name uncultured bacterium. RNAcentral describes it as "partial 16S ribosomal RNA". It matches the Rfam family "Bacterial small subunit ribosomal RNA", at positions 524 to 776 of the family's 1533-position model. The record is from RNAcentral.